UUUGAAUCCAGGGCAAUUCUAACUGGUUUGUAGUGCAAAAUCUCAAUAGUUACACUUGCAGCCAGAUGACAAAGAGAUGAAACACACCCAGUCAUCUCUGUAUAUGAGAAACCUUGUCUGGGGAAUUUGAAGAAAUCGCCAGAAUUUCCCUACAGUUUCCAGGGCUUUCUGGGAGGGUCCCGAGAGCAGAUUUCCUGAGCAGCUGUGCAGAUUCUCCAGAAAGGCCAAUGUCUUUUACUGUCUUUUUUCAUGAAUGGAUCAGCACUGGGAGGGGAACAAUUGAGUCAUGUGUAUCAUCUCCAACAAUCACAAAGCUUUCACUACAGAUUUCAAAGGAAUAUGUUCCAACCACAAUAAGCGCUGAAAUGUUGUUUUAUGAUCCAGGAGGACUGCUGGAGCUUCAACAAUAAUAAUUAUAUUCCAGACAAGAGGAAAGAAAAAGAAGAAGUGAAAACGAGUACAUCUCCCAGUCGCCAAAAUGUCUUUUAAAAAGCCUUCCCAGAAGUUUCCCCAAACUUUCACGUAAAACUCAUGGGCUUGAGCUUUGUCACUAGGCUGCAAGAGAAGCUAGAAAAUAGAAAUUUUUUUUCUUAACUGAACACAAAAGCUGUCCUAUCUCCAAAACCAACCAACCAACCAACCACCCAAACAAGCAAACCAAUAAACAAUGAACAUCUUAAAAGUCUGAAAUAGGAUAAAUACUAACAUGUUGAAACUAACAAGAUGAAUAAAUCAUCUUGAUUUUUGUAUUAAAAUGAGUUUAAAAUUUAACAAAUAUGUCUUGUAAGUAUGGUGAAAAAGUUUGUGAAAUAAAAUAUUGGUGAAUA
Canis lupus familiaris (dog) is the source of this 827-nucleotide long non-coding RNA. RefSeq lists it as uncharacterized. NCBI's taxonomy places the organism in Eukaryota, Metazoa, Chordata, Mammalia, Carnivora, Canidae. The record is from RefSeq and is a predicted model, not a curated record. The transcript is spliced from 3 exons.